UAAGGGCAUUUGGAAGACAAG
This 21-nucleotide unclassified non-coding RNA is filed under the name Mus musculus (house mouse). Its description in RNAcentral is "oocyte_clustered_small_RNA6955". Lineage: Eukaryota; Metazoa; Chordata; Mammalia; Rodentia; Muridae. The record is from RNAcentral.